CCUACGGGGGGCAGCAGUGAGGAAUAUUGGUCAAUGGGCGGAAGCCUGAACCAGCCAAGUCGCGUGAGGGAUUAAGGCCCUAUGGGUCGUAAACCUCUUUUGUCAGGGAGCAAGGUCGUCCACGUGUGGGCGUAUGGAGAGUACCUGAAGAAAAAGCAUCGGCAAACUCCGUGCCAGCAGCCGCGGUAAUACGGAGGAUGCGAUCUUUAUCCGGAUUUAUUGGGUUUAAAGGGUGCGUAGGCGGGACCUUAGGUCAGCGGGAAAAGUGCGGUGCUCAACGCCGUAGAGCCUUUGAAACUGGGGCUCUUGAGUGAGCGAGAAGUAUGCGGAAUGCGUGGUGUAGCGGUGAAAUGCAUAGAUAUCACGCAGAACCCCGAUUGCGAAGGCAGCAUACCGGCGUUCAACUGACGCUGAGGCACGAAAGUGCGGGUAGCGAACAGGAUUAGAUACCCCAGUAGUC
RNAcentral lists this ribosomal RNA (460 nucleotides) under uncultured bacterium. RNAcentral describes it as "partial 16S ribosomal RNA". It matches the Rfam family "Bacterial small subunit ribosomal RNA", at positions 338 to 795 of the family's 1533-position model. The record is from RNAcentral.